AGUGAACGCUGGCGGUAGGCCUAACACAUGCAAGUCGAACGGCAGCACAGUAAGAGCUUGCUCUUACGGGUGGCGAGUGGCGGACGGGUGAGGAAUACAUCGGAAUCUACUUUUUCGUGGGGGAUAACGUAGGGAAACUUACGCUAAUACCGCAUACGACCUACGGGUGAAAGCAGGGGAUCUUCGGACCUUGCGCGAUUGAAUGAGCCGAUGUCGGAUUAGCUAGUUGGCGGGGUAAAGGCCCACCAAGGCGACGAUCCGUAGCUGGUCUGAGAGGAUGAUCAGCCACAUGGGAACGGAGACACGGUCCAGACUACUACGGGAGGCAGCAGUGGGGAAUAUUGGACAAUGGGCGCAAGCCUGAUCCAGCCAUACCGCGUGGGUGAAGAAGGCCUUCGGGUUGUAAAGCCCUUUUGUUGGGAAAGAAAAGCAGCAGGUUAAUACCACGCUGUUCUGACGGUACCCAAAGAAUAAGCACCGGCUAACUUCGUG
This 492-nucleotide ribosomal RNA is filed under the name uncultured bacterium. RNAcentral's name for it is "partial 16S ribosomal RNA". It matches the Rfam family "Bacterial small subunit ribosomal RNA", at positions 29 to 507 of the family's 1533-position model. The record is from RNAcentral.